CCCUUAGACGUUCUGGGCUGCACGCGCGCUACAAUAAUACGCACAGCGAGUAUCACCGAGCUCGAAAGGGCAAGGUAAACAAUAGAAAAGGUACUGUAAUGGUUAUAGAUCCUUGUAAUUAUUGAUCUUCAACGAGGAAUUCCUAGUAAGUAUGUGUCAUCAUCACGCACUGACUACGUCCCUGCCCUUUGUACACACCGCCCGUCGCUCCUACCGAUUGGGUGAGCCGAUGAAACUCUCGGAUGUAGGCUAUUCAUAGCCCGCAGAAGAGAUUUGAAUCGUAGCGCUUAGAGGAAGGAGAAGUCGUAACA
This 311-nucleotide ribosomal RNA is filed under the name uncultured eukaryote. RNAcentral's name for it is "partial 18S ribosomal RNA". It matches the Rfam family "Eukaryotic small subunit ribosomal RNA", at positions 1470 to 1796 of the family's 1831-position model. The record is from RNAcentral.